UGCGAUUGAGCUGGACACCCCCUCUAUGACUGCAGAGCAAGUAGCUGCCAUUGAGCAGAGCGUCAAUGAAAAAAUCAGAGAUCGGCUGCCUGUGAAUGUCCGAGAACUGAGCCUGGAUGAUCCUGAGGUGGAGCAGGUAAGGGUAGAGCCAGAGGGAUGGUUUCUGCGGAAUGAUUCCUCAUCAGAUUCAGACAGUCCCUCCCCUCUCCUUGAGUCCAGGUGAGUGGCCGGGGUUUGCCUGAUGAUCAUGCUGGGCCCAUUCGGGUUGUUAACAUCGAGGGCGUUGAUUCCAACAUGUGCUGUGGGACCCAUGUGAGCAAUCUCAGUGACCUUCAGGUCAUUAAGAUUCUGGGCACUGAGAAGGGGAAAAAGAACAGAACCAACCUGAUAUUUCUGUCUGGGAACCGGGUGCUGAAGUGGAUGGAGAGAAGUCAUGGAACUGAAAAAGCACUGACUGCUCUGCUUAAUUGCCUAAGAGACCUCCUCAGAAUAUCUCCUGGUCCCUGACUGCAGGGAGGCACCAUAGCAAGAAGGAAAUUAUUGAUUUAUGUCCCCAACAUC
RNAcentral lists this long non-coding RNA (561 nucleotides) under Homo sapiens (human). RNAcentral describes it as "non-protein coding lnc-PTGES3L-AARSD1-2:1". Lineage: Eukaryota; Metazoa; Chordata; Mammalia; Primates; Hominidae. The record is from RNAcentral.